ACUUGACUCAGUAGGCCUCAAAUAAUGUGUGACUACCCCCUGA
Molecule: ribosomal RNA, 43 nt
Filed under: Aedes bromeliae
Lineage: Eukaryota; Metazoa; Arthropoda; Insecta; Diptera; Culicidae
Description: partial 28S ribosomal RNA
Source: RNAcentral